RNAcentral lists this ribosomal RNA (91 nucleotides) under Salvator merianae (Argentine black and white tegu). Lineage: Eukaryota; Metazoa; Chordata; Lepidosauria; Squamata; Teiidae. The record is from RNAcentral.
GCUGAUGGCGCCAGUUCCUGGAAGCUAAGCAAGGUCAGCCCUGGCUCGUACCUGAACCGGAGACCACCAGGGAAUCCCAGGGCUGUAGGCU